This 20599-nucleotide long non-coding RNA is filed under the name Vitis vinifera (wine grape). RNAcentral describes it as "long non-coding RNA (VVIN_LNC000658)". The record is from RNAcentral. Lineage: Eukaryota; Viridiplantae; Streptophyta; Magnoliopsida; Vitales; Vitaceae.
UCACUAACCUUGGAUGUUCUUCAGAACUUGCUCCUCUGGAACAUAUAUCUUCUCAAGGGUUUUUCCAAUCUUCUUUUCCCAUAAGGAGACAAUUUCGUUGAAUGAGUAGGUGUUCUGAGGAGGCCUGAUGUAAAGGAUUUUGUUCAAGGUUCUAGGAUCAUCCGCAGCUUUAAUGGUAUAGGUGCCAAUGUCAUCCUCCUUGUUAAAAACAGCUGGAGAUGCAAAAAUGAAAUGAGUAAAAUAGAGUAGAAUCAUCUUCCUAUUCCUUCAAGCUUGGACUACUCCGUAAUUCCACUUUUUUUGUUUACAGAACACAAACUUGAAAUUAUUUUGAUAUGAAACCAAGUUAUUGUUUUCAUUUAAUGCUCAUGUCAAAAACUCUCAGCUGGAGAGCAACCCAAGAGGACUGUCAAUAUAAAAAAAGAGGCUUUAGCCCAUCCAGUUCAGAUAAUAAUGAUUAAUUACUAGAAGUGCACAAUGGUUCCUCAGUUUGACCACUCCAGGUCACAUGGAUCAUGCUAGUUUCCUGUAUUAUGGCUCAAUUGCAAUGUAGCACCCAAGCAGUCAACCUCAACUGUCGGAAGGUUUUGUUUCUGGGUGAACGGGUUUAACCAGCUGGGGAAAGGGGGAGUGGGGUGGGGUUGUCCAGGUUUCAAAUAGCCACAUUCUGAUUUUCAGGAAUAUAGACCAUUCUCACCUCAACAACGCUGGCAACCCCAUCAAUUUUUUUGCCUGGAGAAGGAUAAUAUGCAGCUAUUGGUUGGUGAAAUGGUAAAUUACACUCUCAAAAGGAUUCCAUGCUCAUCUACAUAACCCGCUGAUUAGUAUUACUUUUUAAGCCCACUAUCAUCAGAUGUCACUGAUACAUGGACCGGUGCAUUCUAACAUCAAAACGAGAAAAUGCAAUGGGAAAUUAAGUUGUAUGAUUUUCAGAGGUUGCUUACCUUUUGGAUUCCCAUCUCCUAAAAUAAUAACUUUAUCCCUGGGGGGAGCGGUGGCUCCAGGCUGUGAAAAUGUAGGAAGGAAAAAGCCAGCAAAUGUGUUGGAGGACACAUAGGUGUAGGGAAUUCCUUCAGCCUCAAUAGUGCGGCGGAUUUGAGCCUUUAUCUCAAAGGCUGUUUUUGCUGGCUCAACCGCAUGUACACGGUCCACAUCAUUUCCAAACUCUGAUGGGAAGAAUCUCUGGAUGAAAUAAAGCACUUUAAGAAGAAGCUGUAUAACUCAAUAGAUUGAAAAACGGGUCAUAUCUAUUUAGUCAUAUUAGCUCACGACAGGGAUCCUAUAUGGGAUACACUUUGACGAACUUGAUACAAGUGUUCAGCAACCAUAAAGACAUACAAUUAGCAAUUCAAACGAUGGAAGGAAAGAGUGCACUGAUCAGGAUUCUUAAAAAGUGAAAGAAAAAACCAUGUAAGAAAUGUGAAAAAAAAAACUACCAAACUUCAUUCAUAGAAGGAAAAUGCGCACUAAUCAGGAUGCUUAGAAGAUGGAAGAAUAAAAACUAAAUGAAAACAGGAGAAAAAAAAAAAAAAAAACUUCAUUCUUGUUUAGUUGUCUUGCUGCUUUUUGAAGCCUUUUGUAUACCAUUUGUCUACAUUGGGUGUGCUGUCUUUUUUUGUUAGGCGCUUCUCUGUUAAUAUAGUUUGUUUUUAGCCUAUCAAAAAAAGGGGGGGGGGGGGGUGGUGGUUGUGGGUGUAUACAAUGGAUUGGAAGUGGUAUAGCAUGCCCCAUGAAAGGGAAUUAGUAUUUAAAAUUUUUUCCUUUUUACAUCAAAAAUUAAGAUUGACUUUAAAGCAUCGAUCCAACCUGAGUCAAUGCACAUGGAUCUAGACAAGAAUCAAGAUUGUUGAUCCUCAAUGAAUAUUGUAUAUAUGGAAUGUUCUUUCAUGCACUUCCAACAUUUCUAAAGAAGGUAUUAUUACAUUAUGCACAAAGGAUAAAGAUAUCACCAACAAAUUAUAACAAAUUCCAAUAAUAAAUAUCAUAGUACUCGGAUUUGCAAAGAAAAGAGGGAAUUAGAAAGAAGAAAAGGAGAAAAGGAGAGAAAUUUCGUCAAUUUGGACAACUUUACCUUGACAUUUCCAGCUUCUUUGAUGGCAGCAAUGAUCUUGACUUGAUCCGACAACUGUGCGCGACCAACGGUCGAGAUGACCACAUCCACUAGAUUAAUCGCCUUCACCAAACUCUCGUGAUCGUAUAGAUCACCCUGCAACAUAACAUAACCAAUCAAUAAACUAUUUCAUAACCCUAAUUCCCCAGUUAAGAAGUAAGAAUCCAAAAGCAGGUGUGUUUUUUCACUUUACUGAAACCAAAAUAACUUAAAACAUAAACAUCCGAACUUUUCUUUUCCUGAGGAUCGCCACUUUUUUCUUUCUGGAUGAAUGAAGAAUUCCAGUUUUCGUUUUUUUAGGAACUUAAACAUCCAAAAAUUCAAGAACUCCAAUUAAUUUCAUUCAUUUUCUCGGCGGCCAAAAGAAGCAAAAAUUAGAAAACCAAGAAUAGCGAGAAAUGAGAGCGAAUAUUACGUACAUACACCAAAGUCACGCCGGAGCUCUUGAAAAUCUCAAUGAUUUCCGACUUGGAAGGAUUCGAAACGGCGGAUUCUCUGACGAGAGCGAAGGUAGGGUGACCGGACUUAGCGCUGGCAGCGACGAUGAAUUUUCCGAUGUAGCCAGUGCCGCCGAUUAUGAGAAUCUUGCUCUUUUCGGACAUUGUGAGCUUUUCCGGCGAAUCUCCCGCGAGAAAUGUGGAAUUGAGAGGACUAAGCGAAAGGUGACUGGAGAGUUGGUGGGCACCAACGGCCAAAGACAAUGCUCUUGUAGGACAGAGCUCGAGGAUAUUAGGAUUAUGUAAUUACGGAACUAGCCUUGUGUUUUGGUGGUAAUCUCCGUUUUGGUUAUAUUUUGAAUGUGGCUUGAUUUUUAUGUGAUUCAUGAAUGUGUCAAAGUUCGCUUGUUUGAAAAUUGGUUUAGAUUGGAAAGUGAAAAAGUGUAUAUCACAUGAGAGAUUUAUAAAUAGAAAAAAAUGUAUUUUCACACACUAAUGUAAAAAUAAUUACAAAAUAAAAACUCUUUAAAUAAUUAUAAAAUAAAAACCCUUUAAAAAUAAUUUAAAUUUUAUGCACUCAUCGAGUACAUGAAAUGAUAAUUUAAUAUAGUUAUGUGUAACGACCCGCUCUCCCAAUAAUGACUCCCCUAGCUUUAAAAAAACGUCUUUAGGAUUAAGAUUGAUACUAUUUAUAAUAACUCGUAAAACCUAAAAAGGUCAUCACGACUUUAAAAUGCGUUUGCAAGAUUAAAAAAAAAUAAAAAAAAUUAUACUUAGAUAGUGUUAGGAACUUUCUCCCCUAUCUGAUGUGUGAUGUUACAAAUAUCCCCCAUGCAGACACAACAUCCUUGUUGUAUCUCAUGGAAUUGUGGAAUUAGAAUGAUAAUUUAAUGUAAUUAUGUGUAACGAUCCACCCUAUUUGAUGUGGGAUGUCACAAAUAUCCUCAUGCAGACACAACGUCUUUGUUGUAUCUCAUGGAAUUGUGGAGUUAAAAUGAUAAUUUAAUGUAGUUAUGUGUAAUGACUCGUUGUCCCAAUCAUGUAGAUAUUAUUCGUUUUGGACCCAAAAAAUGACUUUCCUGACUUUAAAAAAACGUCUAUGUGAUUAAGAUUGAUAUCGUUUAUAAUAACUCGCAGAACCUAAAAAGGUCCCCACGACUUUAAAAUGUGUUUACAAGAUUUUUAAAAAAAAUUAUACUUAUAUAGUGUUAGGAACUUUCUCUCCAUAUGAUGUGAGAUGUCACAAACAUCCCUAUGCAGACACAACGUCCUUAUUAUAUCUCAUGGAAUUAUGGAGUCAAAUAGACAAACACUCCCUAUGAGGCAAACAAACUCCCACACCGAAAUCAGAGAUCAAUUCCGAUAUUAUUUGUAACGAUCUACUCUCAAUUAUAUAAAUAUUGUCCAUUUUAAUCCGAAAGGGCAUUACAGUUUUAAAACGUGUGUACAGGAUUAAGAAAAGCCUUUACAUAUACAGUGUCAUGAUUUUUUUUUUCCUAUCGGAUGUGAGAUGUCAUAUUAUGAAUCCGUCAUUCUGUCUUUAUUCAUUUGUUGCAUUUAAGAUAUUUGAAAAAUUGAGCGAUUUUAUAAAAUGAGUUUUGAAAAGGCAUGAGAGAAGGAAAAAGAUACUAGUUUAAUUAAGGCUUACAACCCGGUCUUCUUAAAGGGUGGUUAAAUUCCCUGCCUAUUAAAUUUCUUAUCAGGUCGUUAGUCAAUGGAUCUAUUAAAUUCUAGUAUGACUUUGUAGAGUAGUAAUUACUCCAUGGGUGAGUAAUUAUUAAUAUGUAGCUGGGAUCAUUAGUAUAUUUUACUACAUUUCCAAUAGAAAAUGCUACCUCAAAUAAGUUACAUGUCUCCGCGAGACACUCAAGAAUUUCAGCAUAUUCCAAGACUUGACUUCCAAGUUAGCCAAAAGACAUGGAUAUGAGAUUUCAAUUGAAAUGAUUAAACCUUUUUAGAAUGUUUUCACUAUAAUUUCAUCGGCACAAAAAAAUAAUUAUAAAACACUAAAAUCUCUUUUAAAAACAUGUCUUUUAUUUUUAAAUUUAAACACUUACUCAUCAUUUUUAUUAGGAAUGAUAAUGAGACAAGUUUUUUUAGAUAUUUGUCUGCCUUGUUCUUAAUGAAAUGGGUUUAAAAUUUAAAUAAACGAAAUUAGAAUGAAUUUGGGAUUUUUUUAAAAACUUGGUACUAGCUAUUGUCUUUUCUCAUCCUAUCUAAAUUAUAUAUAAAAUUAAUUUAGUUUUAUUUUUAUUUCCCUAUUUGAUAUAUAUAUAUAAUUAUUUAUAAAAUACAUUUAUUUUAAUGUAAUUAAAUUUAAAAAAAUCAAAAUAAAUAAAUAAAUAAGACGAGAUGGGCAUGAAAAAUUCACAUACCUACCUUAUUUAAUUUUUUAAAUAAGAUAGAAAUGAGAAUUAUUUUGAAUAAACAAGAUAAGGUUGAAAUGAGAUCAACUCGUCUUAAACUAGUCUCGUUGCUAUCUCUAUUUUUUAUACUUUUUUAGUUGAAAGGGAUAAAUGAAUUAAAGUUAAGGAUUAAGAUUAAAUAUUCUACUUUACAAAAAAAAAAAUGAGACUAUUAAAUAUUAUUAGAAUUUUAUCAACUAGUCAUAAGAGUUUAAAAAAGAAAAUAUUGAUGAACAAUUCGUAGGAGGAAAUGAAUUGAGAAUAAAUUGACCUAGUGAACCUUCAGUUGCAUUGCCUCCUACUAUGUUCCACUUAUUCAGAAACGAAAGAGAAAGGAUGAGGGAUCUAUAACUAUAAGUUAAAAGGACAAAGGAUCAGGACAAAUAGAGGAUAUAUAUUAUGAGAUAUUAUUUCUAAUAGAAUAUGAUAUUUUAAAAUAUUGCAUUUAAUAUCAUUUAGAAAUUCUUCUCUUAUUUUUAUUUUAAUAAAUAAUUUUUAGUAUUUUAGUAAUAAUGUUUAUGAUUAUAAAUAAUAUAUAUAUAUAUAAAAUUAUAUUAUAUACUAAUAUGCUAAAUAUUUAAAAGCAUUACUAGUAAUUAAAUGAUACUAUAUAUUAAUAUGAUCAUUAUAAAUUUUAUUAUACAUAUAUUUUUUAAUUCUUUUAUUAAGAAGAAUAAAUUUAUAAUGUCAGUUAUACCUUAGGAUUGUUGUAUUUAACAUAUAGAGAUACAAAAGCGAGGAAAAAUGCAAAAGAAACUAUGAUUGAGUUAUUCUAUCAUUUACCGACCAAACAUGAUACAAAAUAUAUUAUCUCAUCUUUUAUCUUAUAUUAUAUUAUAUUCAACAAACUAAACAUAACAUAAUAGACCGACAUUCUAUCAAAUUUCUCGUAUUGUGAUUUUAAAACUUGAAUAGUUCAUGAACUAAACAUUAUUGCCUUUUCUUGUCUCAAUGGAAUAAGCGUUUUAAUUGUUCUAUAUGCAUUUCUUCAUCAAGCUCCCUCUUUUGAGCUAGAAAUAUUAUAUUAGGAGCUAGGUACUCCUUUUUGUAUAGCUCCAUCUCUAAUAAGGUACCAAAGAAGAUAAACUACAAAGGCAAAGAAAAUCUAAUUCCAGAAACUUCUACUUGCAUAAGAUUAGAAAGGCACAUUGUCCUAUUACAGAAUAUGCCCAAUGGCAUAGACAAGGAAAUAACCCACUAUUUUCCACACAACAUAUAUUAAGACAGCUGCACAUGUUUGCUUGUUUAGAUAGUGCAGCAUGACAGUGAAAACUACCAGGACCGAAGUCUACCUCUCAAACAAGCUGGUUGAGCAACUCAUCCACAGUUGUGUAUUUGACAUCGGGAUAUAGCUCUGAAGCCUCCACCCCAAAUGAUGGCUCGAUCUCAAAGUUGGUUUGGUCUCCCUUAAUGAAAACAGAGUGAUCGAUUGAUAAUAUUGCAUUGAGUGGAGCAGAGGCUUCUGCAAGAAACAGAGGAAAACCCAUCAAUAUGAAGAUUUUAGCCAUCAGAUCAACUAUAUAAACAGAUUUUGGGGCGAAAAUAGCCUCUAUAACUGAAAAAUUAUCAUAUGUGGAUACCUUCUUUAACUUAUUAUCAAGCUAGGCCUCUUCAUGUCACCUUGGAGUCAUUUAAUUUAAUUUUUUCCUUUUUAAAUGUAAGUUGAAAAUGCAUUUUGAAAAGAGUGUUUGGACACACGAGUCAAAAUAAUUAUCAAAUUGUAAAAAUAACCCUUUUUUCAAUUUUGUUGAGAGAUCCCAGCAGUCAAAAUAAUCAUAUAAUCAAACCCAGUCUUUUUCUUCCCAACCUUUUUUUUUUUGGCCUUAUCUUAAACUUGCUCUAUUUCUUUUUCAUUUAAGACACUCCAGAAAAACUCAAUCUCAUUUCAUAAUGUCCCACUGAAUUUUCUUAUCUCUCAAACAACUUCUCAUUCUCAUUCGUGAUGUUCACCUAAAGUGUUCUAUGAUUAAAUUUUAUUUAUUACGAAUUUAACUAAGGUGAAAUUUUCAUUAAGAUUGGUUAGCUGAAUUGCACUAGUGUUAUGUUUGGUUGUAAAAAACUUAGUUAGAGUUAAAUUUUCAAUCAUAAUAGUAAUAUGAACUCCACUAUGGUUAAGUUUUAUUUACAAAAAACUUAAGUGGGGUUAGAUUUCUAUUUCAUCUACAAAGAACCUGAUUAUGGUAACUUGAACAAUCCUCUGGUUAAGUUUCAUUUAGAAAGAACUUGAUCAGGGUUAAGUUUCCAUUUCACCUAUAAAGAACUUAAGUAAGAUCAAGGUCUUAAUUAAAAUGUUCAUUUGCAUUGAACUACCAAAACAUCGGACUUAGUAAAAACAAAGUUAGAUGAGAGAUCUAGUAAAUGAUAAGUUUCUAUCUGAUCUCGUCGUCAACAUUGUAGAAGUUCAAAUGAAAUUGCAAAAUAACCCUAAUAAAAAAAAAAUUAGAAAAAACCUCUAACCAAAAACAAUGACAAAAAACAAAACUAAAAACAAAGAGAAAGACGAGAUUCGAUCUCAUUUUCGUCACUAUAGAAACUUACAUGAAACUACAAAAAACCUUAGCAAAAAACAACGACGAAAAACAAAGAGAGAUGGAGAUCUGACCUCAUCUUCUAUAUUGUAGAAGUUCAAAUGAAGUUGCAAAACCCCUAACAAAAAACAACUCCUAAAAUUUGAAAUAGAUAAGGCUCUAAUCUUUGUUCAAGGGUUUGAACUUCACCAGAAAAAGAGAUAGAACAUGAACUUAGAGAGAAGGAGAAGGCUAGGUAUAAAAAAAUGGAAGGGGCAUUUUUGGAGGAAAGAAAGAAGAGUAAAAAUGUCCAAAAUUGGUCAUUUCUCAAAGGGAAGUCAUUAUUUCGAUUUUAAAAGCAUUUUAGUCGACUUCAAUCGAGGUCCGGGGCAUGAUCACCAGAUUUUACCAGCAGGUCAGCUAACAUUUUCUAAGUUAAAAACAAUUUAACCAAGAACCAAUUUCAUUUUAACAAUCUAGCAUAAAGAGAAUGUUCUAUUCACAAUCUCUGUUCCAAUUUAAAUUCACUAGGAAAACCAAAACUUGAACACUUCCAAAAAGGAAAAUGUUUCUCACUAACCUUGGAUGUUCUUCAGAACUUGCUCCUCUGGAACGUAUAUCUUCUCAAGGGUUUUUCCAAUCUUCUUCUCCCACAAGGAGACAAUUUCGUUGUAUGAGUAGGUGUUCUGAGGAGGCCUGACGUAAAGGUUUUUGUUCAAGGUUCUAGGAUCAUCCACAGCUUUAAUAGUAUAGGUGCCAAUGUCAUCCUCCUUGUUAAAAACAGCUGGAGAUGCAAAAGUGAAAAUGAGUAAGAUAGAAUAGAAUCACCUUCUUAUUCCUUCAAGCUUAGACUACUCUGUAAUUCCACCUUUUUUCUUUUACAAAACACAAACUUAAAAUUAUUUUCAUAUGAAACCAAGUUAUUGUUUUCAUUUAAUGCUUAUUUUUUCAAAAACUCUCAGUUGGAAAGCAAACCCCAGAGAACUGUUGAUAAAAAAAAGAGGCUUUAGCCCAUCCUGUUCAGUUUAAAACCCAAUAAUAAUUAUUAGUUACUGGAAAUGCAUAAUGGUUCCUUCAGUUCAACCCCUCCAGGUCACCUGGAUCAUGCUAGUUUCCUGGAUUAUGGCUCAACUGCAGUGUCACACCCAAGCAGUUGACCCCAGCUGUCCGGUUUUCAAAUAGCCACAUUUUGGUUUUCAGGAAUACAGACCAUUCUCACCUCAACAACACUGGCAACCCCAUCAAAUUUUCUGCUUGGAGAAGAUAAUAUGCAGCUAGUGGUUGAUGAAUGCACAUUCAAAUAACCCAUUGAUUAGUAUUACCUUUUAAGCCCACUAUCAUCAGAUGUCAUUGAUCAUGGGAGCGAGUGCAUUCUAAGGUCAAAAGAAGAAAAUGAAACAGAAUUUCAGUUGUUUUACGAUUUUCAGAGGUUGCUUACCUUUUGGAUUACCAUCUCCUGGAAUAAUAAUUUUAUCCCUGGGGGGACCAGUGGCUCCAGGCUGUGAUAAUCUAGAAACGAAAAAGGCAGCGGUGGCUUCAAGCUGUGAUAAUCUAGGAAGGAAAAAGCCAGCAAAGAAGUUGGAGGACACGUAGGUGUAGGGAAUCCCUUCAGCCUCAAUAGCGCGGCGGAUUUGAGCCUUUAUCCCAAAUGCUGUUUUUGCAGGGCCAACCGCAUGGAUACGGUCCACAUCAUUUCCAAACUCUGAUGGGAAGAAUCUCUGGAGGAAAUAAAGCACUUUGAGAAGAAGUCAUAUGACUUGAUAGAUGAAAAACCACUCAUAUCUAUUUAGUCAUAAUAGCUCACAGACAGGGAUCAUCCAUGGGAUACACUAUGAUGAACUUGAUACAAGUGUUCAGCAAGAAUAAAGUUACACUUAGCAAUUCAAAUGAUGGAAGGAAGAAGUGCACCGAUCAGGAUGCUUAAAAAGUGAGAGAAAAAACUAAAUGGAGAAGGUGAAGAAAAAAGCUACCAAACUUCAUUCAUGAAAGGAAAAAGUGCACCAAUCAGGAUGCUUAAAAAGUGGAAGAAAAAACUAAAAGAAAAAAGGUAAAAAAAAAAAAAAAAAAAACCCACCAAACCUCAUUCUGUCCUGAAUCACUUCAGUUUUAAUUUUUAAUUUUUAAUUAUUUAAUUAGUGCUCAAAACAUUUGACACUAUUAAAUUAGUCAUUUGACAUAAUGUAUAUGAUGUUAUCCAAUACCCUAUGUUUGUUGCAUAAGUAUAGUCUCCUUACACAUGGGUUCAAUAAAUUGAGAAAAUGAAUAAACGGUGAAGUUUGAACAAAUGAUUUCCAACCAAAAAAAGGAUCUUAUGCCAUGUUGGACAACCGAUUUACCUAAAACUUAAGUUGUUAGGAUUUAAGCCCACGGUGUAUAUCAUGUUGCCCAUCAGUAUCUAUAUCCAACGAAAGGUCAAGAACCUCCUUGAAACGAUCCUAUUCUAACUUGCCCCUAGCUGCCAAACCCUCAAGGGCAUUAGCCUAAGGGCACAAAGUCAAUAUAGCUCAAGAACCUUCCUGAGAUGUUCCUAUUCCAGCUGACCCUAGCGGCUAGAUCUUCAAGGGCAUUAGCCUAAGGGUGCAAAGUAAAAACCAAGUUUGAGAACCUCCUUGAAAGGACCCGAUUAUAAUUGGUCCCUGGCAGCUAGGCCUUCAGGGACAGAGCAUAUGAGUGUAAAGCCAUUCCAGGACAAGAACCUCCUUAGAAGGACCCCAUCACAAUAGACCCCUAUUGGAGCCUAAGAACAAAAAAUGAAUAAUCAUAUGAAGAAAUAAUAAAACAAAGCAUAAAAGAUAGAAGAGAAGAUAAAAAUAACAAUAUCCUAUGCCACCUCAUUGUCCCCUCCUUCCUUGGAUGAUGCCUCGCUUUUAUCAUUGUCCUCCUCAUCGAUUUCCCCCAAGGCCUUCAUUCGACCCAUGAGCUUGUCGACUUUCAAAAAAUGCUCUUGCAUUAUUGAACCUUAUGAAUAAAAUUAUCUUUUACCACUGUCCACAAAUGAUUUUUUUUUUAAAAGAAUGGCUUUGUCUUAGAGUUCUAUCCUUUUCUUUCUGUUUCUCAUGGAUAAAAAAAACCCCAACCCAAAUAUUUUUUUAUAACAAGGAUAAUUUUUUAUACCUAAAGAAUUAAAAUCGACUUUCAAACACCUAAGCGUUGAGACUCAACUCAAUCCAACCUCAGUCAAUUAACAUGGAUCCAGCAAGAAAAGAUUGUUCAUCCUCAAUGAAUAUUGUGAAGAUGGAAUGUUCUUCCAUGCCUUUUCAACACUCUCAACAUUUCUAAAGAUGGUAUUACUACAUCAUGCGCAAAGGAUAAAGGAAUUACCGACAAAUUAUUACAAAUUCCAAUAAUAAAAAUCAUAGGAACUUGUAUUUGCAAAGAAGAGAUGGAAAUAGAAAGAAGAAAAGGAGAGGAAGAGAUUUCGUCAAUUUGGACGACUUUACCUUGACAUUUCCAGCUUCUUUGAUGGCGGCAAUGAUCUUGACUUGAUCCGAGAACUGUGCGCGACCAACGGUCGAGAUGACCACAUCCACUUGCUUAAUCGCCUUCACCAAACUCUCGUGAUCGUGUAGAUCUCCCUGCAACAUAACAGAACCAAUCAAAAAACUAUUUCAAAGCUGUAAUUCUUCAAUAAGAAGUAAGAAUUCAAAAAUUGGUGUGUGUUUCCACUUUGCUGGAACCAAAGCAAAUCAAAACAUAAACAUCCAAAAUUUUCUUUUCUUUUCCUGCGAAACACUACUUUUUCUUUCUUUCUGGAUGAGUGAAGAGUCUCAGUUUUCUUUUUCUUAGGAACUUAAACUUCCAACUCCAAUGAACUUCGUUCAUUUUCUCCGCGGCCAAAAGAAACAAAAACUAGAAAAGAAAAAAUGGCGAGAAAUGAGAGCGAACAGUACGUACAUAUACCAAAGUCACGCCGGAACUCUUGAAACUCUCAAUGAUUUCCGACAUGGAAGGAUUCGAAACGGUGGAUUCUCUGACGAGAGCGAAGGUAGGGUGACCGGACCUAGCGCUGGCAGCGACGAUGAAUUUUCCGAUGUAUCCAGUGCCGCCGAUGAUGAGAAUCUUGCUCUUUUCGGACAUUGUGAGUUUUUCCGACCAAUCUCCGGCAAGAAAUGUGGAAUUGGAAAAGGCUAGCAAGCAGUAAGCAAUGACGACUGACGAGUAGUGCAGUACUGCAGUGUUCUUAUAUAACAAAGCUUGAGGCUAUAUAGAUUAUGUAAUUACGAAACUAGCCUUUUCUUUCAGCAGUAAUUCCCGCUUUGGUCAUCAUAUGUAUGUGGCUCGAUCUUUGUAUGAUUCACGUGUCCCGAUUCAUAUUUGUUUGAAAAUCGGCUUAGAUUAGUCCAAUUUACAAGACUACACCAUCUUUAAUUUGACAAGAGCAUAUAAUAUAUAUAUAUAUUGUAGCAAUCAUUAAUAUUUUAUUUUAUUUUUGGCACGUGUAAUUUUAUCUCUAGCUCCCAUAUCUUAUUUUAUUGCACACUUUUGACUCCGUUUGGCCAUAUUGAUAUAUAUCAUAGAUUUGCCUUAGAUUUUGGUUAAUAAAAUUUUAAUCAUUAUUGCACGUUUUUAUUCUCCACCCAUGUUUAAUAGUAUAUUUUAGAGACUUAUCGUGGAUAACCACCCCUUCACCUCUCCUACUGAAUUGUCAUUUGAUAUUGCUUGGGGAUCCCACAGAGUUGUCUAGUUGAUAGGUUGAUAAAAUUUACAUGCACGGUCAUUUUCAUGUCCUUAAAGCAAAUACAAAUUAAAAUGUGAUCGAUUGAUGCUAAGAUUUGAAUUUAUCUAUUUAAUAUAAAAUUGUCAUGGUCAAAUGUUUAUUGCUACUCCACGAUAGAAUGAUGAUUUUUAUUUUUGUGACAGUAACAUUUCAAAUUAUAAAAAACAAUGAAUUAAACAAUAUUUUUAUAUUCUUUACAAAAUCUUGGAUGUUUAAAAUUAGACCCUUUAAAUAGACACGUGACUUAAAUGGAAUACCAUAUUUGGGAAUGCACUACACUUAACUUGGAUUGGAAUAUAAUUCAAAAUGGAUAACAAUUAGGAAUGCACCAUGCUUAUUUGGAAUUAAGGGAGAGAGGGAUGACUGUUGGAAUCAUGAAAUGUUAUGGAACGGACCCCUUUUUAAAGAUGUAGAUGUCCCUUAAAGAAACGCUUCCAUCAAAAGAGUUGCACCUAACUAAUAAGAGAUGGGAAUGACUUCCAAAAAAUGUAUCACUUCAUGUUGGUGGCCUUUUUAUUAAACCUAGAAGCAUGUGGGGUUAGGCUCACACAUAUCUGGUGUGGCUUGUGCACAUGUGAGCCUAUGUUAGGCCCAAGUCCACAUUCAUCUAGUUGGAUAUAUGCAUAUGUGAGUUUAUGUAAAAACCCAUGUUUUCUUUUAAGCUUACAAAAUACUUGUAAAGUACCUUUUCGACUAGUGAUCUUCUAAGAAACGCUUCCAUCAAAAGAGUUGCACCUAUCUAAUAAGAAAUGGAAAAGGCGUCUAAAGAAGAUCUCACUUUAUGUUGUUGGUGACCUUUUUUCAAUGUUUUUAAAAUUGGACCGAUUAUUAAAUAUAAAAAAAUUACUCAUUCACGGUUCAUUAAUCGGACUGACAGUUGAACCAGUAACGUCAUAAAUAUAUAAUUUAUAAAUUAUUAAAAUAAAAAUAAAAAUGUAUGUAUUGUUUAAAAAUUAAAAUUUUAUUUGAAAAUCAGAAAAUUAGUUUUAAAAUUAAAAUUAAAAUUAAAAUCAUGGGGGGGAGGGGGAGGGGAGGGGGUUCGUUCUGCCAGUGAGAGAGCGACGUCCGACCAAUCAGCAAUUGACGAUAGUGGGAAGAAGCAGCUAGGGUAGUAGGGUAAGAGGGGUUAUUGGAAAAAAUAAUAAUAAUAAAAGAAAGGUUGAACGGUUCAAUGGUCAAAUCGUCGGUUCAAUCGGUCUAAUUCUGGUUUGACUACUUUUCGACCUAAUUCAUCAAACCAAACCGAAAUUGUGACUUGCUGGUUCGAUCCAAUUUUUAAAACCGUGUAUUUUUAUUAAACCUAAAAGGUGGGUGUAGGAUCACACCUAUCCAAUGUGGCUUGUGCACACGUGAGCCUAUGUUACGCCCAUGUACACAUUCAUCCAAUUAGGUCCAUGCAUAUGUGAGUUGAGGUUAAAAACCAUGUUUUCUUUUUACCUUACAAAAUACUUAUAAAGUACUUUUUCUGACUACUAAUCUUCUAAUGUGGGAUUGCUUUUUUCCACCACAUUCCACAUGAAUGCAUAGGUAACUUUGAGCUCAAUUUGUCAUUAACCCAUAAAUGGUUUUGAGUAUGUAAAUUUCUUAUCCACCAAUACCUACUCGUGCAGACGUUAUUGGUUAUCAUUUGGAGAAAGGUGUCCAACCUAUUGAUUGUUGUAAUUUAGAUUGUCCCAAUUCUAAUAGUUGUGGUUUUAAGGCCUAGAAUUGUUUCGUUGAUUCUCAUCUUAACCCUUCUCUUUAUUCAAUGACUUCCCUUGAAAGUAUUAUUUGAUGAUCUCCUAUCAGGGGGUUGGUCUCUUUCUUAUCUUCUCUUCUUUUUAAAUAGUCCAUUACCUUAUCAUGCAAUUCUUUAAAUGAGAUAGCAGUAUCACAAGCUCUCACAACAACAGUGGUCUCUUUGUAUUUUGAACCUAAUUCAUUGAGAGUGUAAACCACCAGAUCAUCAUUGUGCAAGAGUGAACUAAUAAUAGUAAGUUCAUCAACAAUACUUUCGAAGAUUUGGAUGUAUUCACUAAUAGUUUUUUGUUCUUUGAUCGUUUUUAUAGCCUUUCCCAUGAGGUUAGGAUGCAUGACCUUGAGUAAUUGGCAUUAAGUUUUUUUGGGUGAGACCAUGACUCUAAUGCCUUAGUAGCACAAACCACAAAACAAAAAUAGACUCCAAACUACAAUCUAACAUGAGAUGAAAUAACAAAUUAUUUUAAGGUUAAUUUUGUUGACUUUCCAUGAGGUUUUGACUAAAUAUAUUUAGUUCAUAUUAGUUUGAAAUUUCAUCAAAUACCUCCUCUACCCUUCUCACAAAUUAUUUCACUUACCUGUCUUCUAACUCAAAAUAAAGGAAGUAUUUGACGAUAUUUUAAAUUUAUAAAAACUAGGUAUAUUUAACCAAAACUUGAGGGAAAGUAAGUGAAAUUAACCUAAUUAUCUUACUUUUAAUAUAGCCAAUAUUCCAUAUCUCGUAUUGGUACUUUCCUUCUCCUUUCAAAUUGUUGUAGAAGGGCAAAGAUAUGACCGUUGUUACAUGUGCUAAAUCAUAGUAGUAUAUAAAGAAGCAUGCGGAACUAAACUCUUCACAAUGGAAAGUUUUUAAUCGUAGUUACAUCACUACAUCAAUCAACUCUGUGGUGCUAAUUUGGUAAAAUGUCAAAAGACUUUGACCCAUUAAAGGUAAAAAAGAAUAAAAAUAAAAAUUUGUUGUAGCAAUGGAUACUCUAAAACCAUAAAUACAAAGAAUUUAUAUAACCUAUCACUCGUAUUAUUUUACAUUGUAUAAGUUUACAAUAGAAAUGAUCGACUAAAUAUACAUUGGUAAUAUUAUAGCUUAGGGUCAAAUGUCAUGCGUUAUGAAUGUAAAGAAAAAUUGAACUUGAUGAUUUGGUUGAGCCUUUAUUUGCCAUUAAUAUAUGCCUUUAUGGACUGUCCACUGUAAAUUCCUUUCACUCCUCUCAUUGAAGAAUGAAACUCCACACUUUAUUCAAGUUUAAAAUGUUUUCUUGCAUAUUAAGGAGGAAAUUAAAAAAUAAAUAAAUAAAUAAAGGAAAGGAAAAUGAUCCGUUAAAAAACUAUAUUAUGAAUGUUAGAUAUCUUAAAAAACAAAAAAAUAUAUAUUUGUAGACCCCAUUUUGGGGAGCUGUCAUUUUUCUCACGUUUCCUUUCUUGCAGCUAGCUGUGGCCAAGUGUCACCAUCUUGCAUGGCCACGUGUCACUCCCGGAUUAGUCAAUAUGGGAUCAAAAUAGUGGAAUUGAUGGACCCAUCAGAGGAAGACACCUGGAAAGUGAAGAACAUUCUGGAAUCAGGGGAGCGUAUCUUCUGUUAUGGGAAGGUUGCCAGCUGCAGGAGUAGAGGAGUGGAGGCUGGUUGCUGCAGAGAGAGUGGAGGCUGGCAGAGGAGUGGAGGAGAGGUUUUGCUUUUGAAAAGGCCGUUAGAGAUAUUUUUAGGAUGAGGCAGCGGCAUUGAAGGGGAGAGUUUGGAGAGAUUCUUGAGGAGCAAGCUAGAUAUUGAAAAGAGAGAACGAGACAGAGAGAGCUGCAUUGAGAGGGAGGGAUUUCUUUUAAGCUGAGGCUGGUUGCUGCAGAGAGAGUGGAGGCUGGCAGAGGAGUUUUGGAGAGAAAGAGAAGGGUUUUUGGAGAGAAAGAGAAGGGGUUUUGGAGAGAAAGAGAAGGGUUUUUGGAGAGAAAGAGAAGGAGUUUUGGAGGGAACAGAGAGCUAGAGGGGGAGGAAAAACACUAGGAAGAAAAACAGAGAAAUCAGAAGAGACGGUUUUGGGUAGAGGAGGUUAUCAAGAACCAGAAGAAAAGGGCCUCCAGGUUCUUUUUGAGGGGUAAGUUUUCCACUGUGUUCUUGUUCUUUCUUUUUCUCUUCAUAUAUUGUUGUUGAGAUGCAUUGUUGUUGAUCUUUGGAUGGGUUAUACUCUGUUCUUCAUGGUUGACUGCUCCCCUUUUGCUUCUGUUUAUGGCUGAAAAUUGAUUUAAAUCCAUUUUUACCUUCUUUGUGGCAUUUUAAAGAAAGAAAAAGACCUUUUAAUUCACCCAUCUGCAAACCCACUAAUGAAGAGGUGAAGCAUAGUUCUUCAUGCUUCAUCUCAUUUUUCUUCCUCCAUGGCUCUGUUUUUGCUACUUUUCUCUCUGCUCUUCGUGUUUGGACUUUCUUGGAUAUGAAGCCGUAAUGGGGAGUGAGGCUAUGGGAUGACGAGACAGUGAGGGAUUUGGACUCCUUGAAUCCGUUUAUCCUGUAAAGGCUACUAAGGGCUUGGUAGAUCAAUGUUUGAGCAUAUGAACAGAGAGUGGUCUACACCGGGGAUACCAUUAUUGCCAGUGAUCCGUGUGGCAGAGGUUAGUGGGCUGUAGAGAGGGGAUCCUUUCUGACGGAGCAAAGGAACAAGAGAUGAAUUCAUGGGUUUUCUGAAUUGUUUUCACUAAGAAGGAGUUCACCCAGUACUCUUAGGCCUAAGAAGCUCGGCAUUUCUUUGCAAACAUAAGAAGCACAGGCUGGAACUAUGGAGGCCAUAGGUUUUACAUGGUAAAAAAGUGGGUUGACUGAGGAAUUGAGAAAGAAAUAAAGCAAGCAAAGCCGUCAUCGAAUGACGCCGGCGGCGAAGCGCCUCCACUUUGACUACGUCGUGCCCUCAGUUAUCGACUCUAACCACCGCUUCUCUAGUCUACGCGUGUCGCCGGAAGACUUGACGCUGAUCGUUUCUCUGCCUCUCUUUAUUUUCGGCUCUGUCAGGGGUCGAAACUCAUCCUCCGCUGGCGAUUGCGACGAGUGUCUCUCCUAGCUUAAGCCUCACGAUCAGCUUCGGCUGUUCCUGAUCUGCCGUCACGCUUCCCAUGCUCUAUACAUCAACACGCUGCUGGCAUCCAGUCAGGCAUGUCCUUGUAUCGUGUUCCGCAGGGAAUUCUGGGCCUGAUCUGCUCACUGUGGUGAGUGUCGCGCCAUGGAUUUUAACUGAUGGUGUCCCGACGAUUGACAAGAAGUUUUCCGGUGGAUGUGGUUCUUGGCGACGGAAGAAUCUUCGGUGGUGUGUCUAUGUACUUCGGCGAUCCUCUAAAGGACACUAAUCUCCCCAUUAGUUUACGCUGGUGACUGUGGAAGCAGAUUCCGCUUCAUCGGAAAACCCAAUCCUUCUCAAGUGCCUGGAAAAGCAGUCAUUUGUGAUCGGAACUUCACCUCGGCGCCCAAAGUCGCAGCGUUCUCCAACUGGUUUAGACAUCGACGAGAGACAAGUUGAUUUUAAUAUAAUUUCUGGCACGUCCAUUGCAUGUCCGUACGUGAGUGGAAAUAGCGACUGUGGCAGUGUACCCAAACGGCUUCACCACUCUCAAGCAUGAUGCUCUGAGAGUUGAAUUGAAAUGGAGGGGCGUUCUCAUAUUGCAAUUGUUGUUCCUAGAACUGAUGAGUCAAUCAGUAAAUUGGUUCAGCAACCUCAGAAGUUAAUAGAUCUCCGUGAGGUUCGCGAUAUUACUCAUAUGCCAUUUGCAGAAAGAGAUGACUGAAGGGAAACGGGUUCCUCUGAAUAUUACUAAAUUUGAUUAUGAAUGUUUGAGAAAGACCGCUGACAGUCAAGCAUAUUAAGGGGAUCCAUAUAAAGAAUUGUGGGUGUCCUUUGUUGACCGAGUUGGUCUUAGUCACAGAUAUCCUCAUCCAUGGCUGCUGAUAUAUCUCCUAAUUCUUCUUGAUGCUGCGGAAGAUAUUGUUGAAAUAGGAAAAACUGGGUGGAGAGAUCAAUUGUUACUCUGAUUUGAUUUUGGAUUGAAAAGGGAUGGGUUCAUUCAUGGAGCAUGUUCUGCCAGGAACGCUGUUUCUAGCAGUGAGUUUGUGGCACAUAUGCAGCGCAGUGGUGAGAUUUGUGAUGAACCCAAAGGGGUUUCAGGUUCGGGUUUUGAACCCAGUGUCUGGUUUUGAUGGAAGGCUUAGAUACUUGGAGCUUUAUGUGGUGGCAAUCGGAGCUUUUAUUGAUAUGUGCAUAGAGUUUUUGUAUUCAACUCAUCUCAAGUUCUUUGUGAAUGGGGUCUUGAACCCAUCUCACACGAAUGACUUUGAGCACUCUGGGAUGCUUCUCAUGUUCUUUAUUUUCGGGGUCGUCGCCUUGUUCUCCCAGCAAACCGGGCUUGUUCAAAACUGAAUAACCAAUGCUCAAUAGCCUUCACAUAGCUCCAUUCUGCCCUCACAUACUUCCAGCGCGUGACUUGUUUGAAUGAGAGCGACUUUUAUUGCCAAACAGUUACUUGGGGAACCGGUGACGUUACUCCUAUUGCAGGAUUGCUUGGCAAAUCUCAAUUCCAGAUUCACUUAGGAGGGAUCCUUGGCUGCUAAUUGGAAGGCUUCAAGACAGAAGGAAGCGAAGAGUGAUGAUACCAGGGAAGUGACUCAAUUAUCUACUCUACACUUGCCCGCUCAUGGCCCCAAAAUCUCAGAAGUGGUCAAGAAGUUGGAAGACUGCAUGUUCUGAAAUUGACCUAGCCUUUCAAAUCGGGUUCCCUACAUUGAAAUAAGAAGCAGUAGCAUGAGUUAUCCUCCAGAAUGGCUCUAUUCUCUGCAUGGUGCAUGGCCACCUUUGGGCCACAGUGCCAUUUCCCAUUUCACCAUCUCUAAUUUUGAAAAAUAUUCUUUUAAAUCCCAUUCUUCAAAUAAUUUUCUAGAUUUUAGUUUGUUUUAAAAUAAUUUCAAACUCGUCCACUUUUCAUCUUUAGUUUCUUUUUCUUAGAUUCCAAAAAUCCAUUUUUCCAAUAAAAUUUUGCUACCACUUUUCUUCCUAGCAAGCCAUUUUCAUAUCUCUUCUGUUUUUUUUAAAUUGUUUUGAAAUAAGCAAGAAUUAAUUCCGUAAUUCCGAAUAAUGGAAUUUAUGGAAUUAAUUCAUGCUAAGAUAAAUGGGCUUUGGUGGGGGCCCAACAUAUGAGAUUUUAUGAUUGAUUGACUGAUUGAUUGAUUCAUUAGCUAUAUGUGAUUGAUUUAUUCUGUUCCUUGGUAUACACAUUAUCCUUCUGUGUUUGUUCACUAACCCUGUUUCUGAUAGCACGUUACGGCUCGUGGCCCCGGUACGCACUCUCUAUACCUAUUCUGUUUCUCAUAUGUGCAUAAUUGAUUCGAGUAUUCAUUGCUUUCCUCAUCAAUUGCCACAUCAGCUUCAUUUUAUUAGUAGAGACCCGAUUUUAGGGACUUAGAGGGGUGCUAUGGUCUUUACCGUACCUUCCCGAUAAGUAACCUGACCCCCGAACCCGAUCCGGUUUUUCGUAGAUCACCUUUUCCAAAUAAGGAGUCACACUUAGGGUUUUUCUUUCUUAUUUUGUUUACCCUUUUAAAAAUAAAACAAAAAUACAGCUAAAAUCGAGCUCGCCAUUGAGUGGGAAACGCAUUGAGAUAGAUCGAAAUGCGGGGUCCACAACGCGUUCUUUUAUUCUCUUUAGUUUUAUAAAAAAGAUGGUAAAAAUGUAGUGAUCUUCUUUUAGUUUCUGUUUUAUAAGUGAGAGGGGACUAAGAUAGUAUUUAUUUUUUGACUGAAUAUAAAAAAUCAAAAUAUAUACAAAUUUACUUUAAUUAUAUUGGACGAUGUUAAUAGGUUACUUUUAGCUAAAUAAAAAAAAAAUCAAAACCUUAGAAAAAUAUUUUAAGUUUUAUUUACUCAAAUCAAUGUUUCCAAAAAUAUCCUUAUUGUCAAAACUGACUUAAAUGAAAAAUAAAUAAAAAAAUAUAAGCAAAAAACAAUUUAAUAGUUUUUAAAAAUAUUAUUAAAUCAUCAUUUGGUUCCCUUUUAUUCUGUCACUUUAAUUCUUUAAAACUAAAUUUAAUUCUUUUAUAACAAUAGAACAUAGGGGCCUAAGGUUGGAAAAUGACAAUUUACCCUAUUUGAAAAAAGAAAAAUUAUAUAUUCAUUUCUAGCCAAAAACAACUUUAUAUGUAAUUGUCAUUUUUUAUCAACCCCCACCGCUGAUGCAAAAGCCUUAACCUUGAAUGGAAUUUUAAUUUCAAAGACAUUUAGCACAUAGGAUAAAAAUUGUGCAUUUCAAUGAUCAAAGCUUCAUAUCUUAAAAGGUAGGUAAAUUUUAAAAUUCAACUAAGUUAUGUCUUCAAAAGACAAUAUUUAAUUGGAUUCUUUCGAGGUGUCAUAGAAUUAGAAAUAUUUUUUGAAUUAUUAUAUUUUAAAAAAUAUAUUUUUUUAAAUUGCCUUACUUUGUUCAAAAUGCCAAGAAGCAGGCAUAGGAACUAUAACAAAGCUCCAUCUCUAUUAGGGUACCAGAGAGGAUGAAUUGAAAAGGCUAGGAAAAUCUAAUUCCAGAAACUUCUACUUGCAUAAGAUACAGAGUGACUACAGAAUAUGCUCAAUGGCAUAGACAAGGAGGCCACACAUGCUUGCUUAUUUAGAUGGUGCAACAUGACAAUGAAAACUAGCAGGACCAGAAAUUACCUCUCACACAAACUGGUCAAG